This 72-nucleotide transfer RNA is filed under the name Salmo salar (Atlantic salmon). It matches the Rfam family "tRNA". From Rfam's summary of the family: Transfer RNA (tRNA) molecules are approximately 80 nucleotides in length. Their secondary structure includes four short double-helical elements and three loops (D, anti-codon, and T loops). The record is from Rfam by way of RNAcentral. Lineage: Eukaryota; Metazoa; Chordata; Actinopteri; Salmoniformes; Salmonidae. RNAcentral also lists the same sequence under 2 other names.
GGGGUCAUAGCUCAAUGGAGGAGCAUUUGAUUGCAGAUCAAGAGGUCCCAGAUUCAAAUCCUGGUGCCCCCU